CCUACGGGUGGCAGCAGUGGGGAAUAUUGCACAAUGGGGGAAACCCUGAUGCAGCGACGCCGCGUGAGUGAAGAAGUAUUUCGGUACGUAAAGCUCUAUCAGCAGGGAAGAAAAUGACGGUACCUGACUAAGAAGCCCCGGCUAACGACGUGCCAGCAGCCGCGGUAAUACGUAGGGGGCAAGCGUUAUCCGGAUUUACUGGGUGUAAAGGGAGCGUAGACGGCAGCGCAAGUCUGGAGUGAAAUCCCAUGGCUUAACCAUGGAACUGCUUUGGAAACUGUGCAGCUAGAGUGCAGGAGUGGUCAGCGGCAUUCCUCGUGUAGCGGUGAAAUGCGUAGAUAUUAGGAGGAACACCAGUGGCGACGGCGGCUUACUGGACUGUACCUGACGUUGAGGCUCGACAGCGUGGGGAGCAAACAGGAUUAGAUACCCCGGUAGUC
Molecule: ribosomal RNA, 440 nt
Filed under: uncultured bacterium
Lineage: Bacteria
Description: partial 16S ribosomal RNA
Rfam family: Bacterial small subunit ribosomal RNA
Source: RNAcentral